GCAGUGGUGGUUCAGUUGUAGAAUUCUCACUUUCCGUGAGGGAGACCUGGGUUCUAUUCCCAGUCAGUGCA
Molecule: transfer RNA, 71 nt
Filed under: Loxodonta africana (African savanna elephant)
Lineage: Eukaryota; Metazoa; Chordata; Mammalia; Proboscidea; Elephantidae
Rfam family: tRNA
About the family: Transfer RNA (tRNA) molecules are approximately 80 nucleotides in length.
Source: Rfam by way of RNAcentral